AUGACAUUGUAAGUUGCCUUACAUGUGAUCGACAAGGUGUGGACUCUGGUCAUUGCUAACGCCCCACCCUCCCAGAUACAUGGAAUUGGGAAACUGUUCAAUUCUUGGAAACUGGAAGGGAAUUUUUUGUGCAAAUAAUUUCUGAAUAAACACAUGGUGGAAGUUCAGGAUUCCCUUAUCAUCUCACCUAAAUCCAGGAGGAGAAGGAGGGAAGAAUGGAGGGAGGGAGGGAGAGAUGGAAGGCAGAUGUAUACAGGAAAGGUACCACUGAGAUCCAGAUCAAACUUACAUCACUGGAGCUGUGCGGCAGUGGUUUCAUCCACCAGUGGGCCACCCCAUUAAUCUCCCAUCUCCGCAAAAAAAAAGGCAUAAGAUGUUUACAAACCUGCAAGUGAGUUUUUCAAUUUUAAAUUUCAUUUAGUUAUGCUAUUAUCAUCCAUCCAAGGAAAUCAAAAGUGUCAUUGAAG
Molecule: long non-coding RNA, 467 nt
Organism: Mobula hypostoma (lesser devil ray)
Lineage: Eukaryota; Metazoa; Chordata; Chondrichthyes; Myliobatiformes; Myliobatidae
Exons: 3
Source: RefSeq, a predicted model, not a curated record